RNAcentral lists this ribosomal RNA (568 nucleotides) under uncultured bacterium. RNAcentral describes it as "bacterial SSU rRNA". It matches the Rfam family "Bacterial small subunit ribosomal RNA", at positions 338 to 916 of the family's 1533-position model. The record is from RNAcentral.
CCUACGGGAGGCAGCAGUGGGGAAUAUUGCACAAUGGGCGAAAGCCUGAUGCAGCGACGCCGCGUGAGGGAUGACGGCCUUCGGGUUGUAAACCUCUUUCAGCAGGGAAGAAGCGCAAGUGACGGUACCUGCAGAAGAAGCACCGGCUAACUACGUGCCAGCAGCCGCGGUAAUACGUAGGGUGCGAGCGUUGUCCGGAAUUAUUGGGCGUAAAGAGCUCGUAGGCGGCUUGUCACGUCGGGUGUGAAAGCCCGGGGCUUAACCCCGGGUCUGCAUUCGAUACGGGCAGGCUUGAGUGUGGUAGGGGAGAUCGGAAUUCCUGGUGUAGCGGUGAAAUGCGCAGAUAUCAGGAGGAACACCGGUGGCGAAGGCGGAUCUCUGGGCCAUUACUGACGCUGAGGAGCGAAAGCGUGGGGAGCGAACAGGAUUAGAUACCCUGGUAGUCCACGCCGUAAACGUUGGGAACUAGGUGUUGGCGACAUUCCACGUCGUCGGUGCCGCAGCUAACGCAUUAAGUUCCCCGCCUGGGGAGUCGGCCGCAAGGCUAAAACCUUAAAGGAAUUGACGG